AGUGAACGAAGAGAUGAUCGAGACAUUGUUCGUCUCAAAUUCGACACGGAGGUCGUCGAAGAGUGGAACCAAGGGGCCGAAUUCCAGUCUGUGCAGCCAGGAGAACAAGGUCCUCGACCCAAAGAAAUCACAGGUCCAAAACUAUUUGUGUAUUUUUUUAAGCAGAGAUGGGUCAGCGACGAAUUCUUUCAGAACUGGACCCUCAAAGCAGAGCAGAUUAAGGUGCGGCAUCGGCCUGAGCUCCGGCGAGCUGGUGCUGGAGACGGUGGUCGUCGAGCCCCGCCCACGCUGGUCGCCACCAUCGUAGA
This 308-nucleotide unclassified non-coding RNA is filed under the name Zea mays. RNAcentral's name for it is "misc RNA Zm00001eb426960". Lineage: Eukaryota; Viridiplantae; Streptophyta; Magnoliopsida; Poales; Poaceae. The record is from RNAcentral.